UACGAAGGGUGCAAGCGUUACUCGGAAUUACUGGGCGUAAAGCGUGCGUAGGGGGUUCGUUAAGUCUGAUGUGAAAGCCCUGGGCUCAACCUGGGAAUGGCAUUGGAAACUGGCGACCUAGAGUGCGGUAGAGGGUAGUGGAAUUCCCGGUGUAGCAGUGAAAUGCGUAGAGAUCGGGAGGAACAUCCGUGGCGAAGGCGACUACCUGGACCAGCACUGACACUGAGGCACGAAAGCGUGGGGAGCAAACAGG
Molecule: ribosomal RNA, 253 nt
Filed under: uncultured bacterium
Lineage: Bacteria
Description: partial 16S ribosomal RNA
Rfam family: Bacterial small subunit ribosomal RNA
Source: RNAcentral